RNAcentral lists this ribosomal RNA (253 nucleotides) under uncultured bacterium. Its description in RNAcentral is "partial 16S ribosomal RNA". It matches the Rfam family "Bacterial small subunit ribosomal RNA", at positions 524 to 776 of the family's 1533-position model. The record is from RNAcentral.
UACGUAGGGUGCAAGCGUUGUCCGGAAUUAUUGGGCGUAAAGAGCUCGUAGGCGGUCUGUCGCGUCUGCUGUGAAAACUCGGGGCUUAACCCCGGGCCUGCAGUGGGUACGGGCAGACUUGAGUUCGGUAGGGGAGACUGGAAUUCCUGGUGUAGCGGUGAAAUGCAUAGAUAUCGUCAAGAACACCGAUAGCGAAGGCAGCUUACCAAGCUGUAACUGACACUGAGGCACGAAAGUGUGGGGAUCAAACAGG